Non-coding RNA from Leptonychotes weddellii (Weddell seal), 1408 nucleotides. NCBI's taxonomy places the organism in Eukaryota, Metazoa, Chordata, Mammalia, Carnivora, Phocidae. The record is from RefSeq and is a predicted model, not a curated record.
GAAAGAUGGAGACAACACUUCCUGUUCACGGCUUUCGCCUUCAACAAAGAUGGUGCUUAUGGUACAGGUUCCCUAACAGUCUGGAUUCCGGUUGCGGUUUCUUUCUUUUUUUUUUUUUUUUAAUAUACGUGUUUGCAGACGGAGAAAUGGAGGCUAGAGACAAGCAAGUGCUUCGCUCCCUUCGCCUGGAGCUGGGUGCAGAGGUACUGGUGGAGGGACUGGUUCUCCAGUAUCUUUACCAGGAAGGGGUCCUGACAGAAAACCAUGUUCAAGAAAUCAAAGCUCAAGCCACAGGCCUCCGGAAAACAAUGCUGCUGCUGGAUAUCCUACCUUCCAGAGGUCCUAAAGCAUUUGAUGCAUUCCUAGAUUCCUUGCAGGAAUUUCCCUGGGUUAGGGAGAAGCUGGAGAAGGCAAGGGAAGAAUCCAUAACUGAGCUGCCUGCAGAUGACCAGAUGACUGGGAUCCCCCUGCACAUCCUCAACAGCUCCCCAUCCGACCAGCAGAUCAACCAGCUGGCUCAGAGGCUGGGCCCUGAGUGGGAGCCUGUGGUGCUGUCUUUGGGCCUGUCCCAGACGGAUAUCUACCGCUGUAAGGCCAACCACCCCCACAACGUACAGUCGCAGAUGGUGGAGGCCUUCAUCCGCUGGAGGCAGCGCUAUGGGAAGCAGGCCACCUUCCGGAGCUUGCACAGAGGCCUCCAGGCCGUGGAGGCGGACCCCUCCGUGCUCCAGCACAUGUUGGAGUGAUGGGGUCUCCCUCCAUCAACCCACGGGGGAGUGUGUCCCCAAGUUGCAUGUGCAGAAUCCUGACUUUCUCCCAGGGCAGGUUUUUCAUAUACGUGAUUUCAUUUGGGCCUCACAAAAAUCCUACGAAGUAGUUGGGCAAGAGAGGUGAGUCUCCUUCUGUAGUGAGAUUAAGUGAUUUGCUGGGGGCGAAUGAGCUAGAAUGUGUCUUUGGAGCCCUGCUUCUUUCCAGCUGCUCCCUGCUGCUUCUCCUCCCCUCUCCCGUGCUCCUCGAAGAAGCUUGAGUCCUGUUCUCCUGUUAGCAUUGCCGUGGACAAGCUGCUCCUCUUCUCUAACCCUGCGCAAAAGAGGAAAUGAUUGUCCCCUCCUCCAAGAUUUUUGUGAUAAUUAAGGGAAAAAUGUCUGCCCAGGACUCAUCUAGUGCCUGGCCCUUAGUCAGCUCUCAGAAGUGGUAACUGUUCAUUUGCUGCUGUGGCUGCCCAUGGAUGAAGUUCACAGGCAGAGCUGGUUAGUGGCUAAAGCUGAGGGCACUGCAGAAGGAAGUGCUGCGACCAUGUUCCCUGCCAAGCUUUAACAUGUGAUGUAAUUUACUAACUCUGCCAUGGGUCCAAUCAAGAGAGGGACAGGAUGGGGCGCCUGGGUGGCUCAGUCAUUAAGCGUCUGCC